Molecule: ribosomal RNA, 442 nt
Filed under: uncultured bacterium
Lineage: Bacteria
Description: partial 16S ribosomal RNA
Rfam family: Bacterial small subunit ribosomal RNA
Source: RNAcentral
CCUACGGGAGACAGCAGUGGGGAAUAUUGGGCAAUGGGCGCAAGCCUGACCCAGCAACGCCGCGUGAAGGAAGAAGGCUUUCGGGUUGUAAACUUCUUUUUACAGGGAAGCGUAGAAGACGGUACCUGCCGAAUCAGCCACGGCUAACUACGUGCCAUCAGCCGCGGUAAUACGUAGGUGGCAGGCGUUGUCCGGAUUUACUGGGUGUACAGGGCGUGUAGCCGGGUUGACAAGUCAGAUGUGAAAUCCUGCGGCUUAACCGCAGAACUGCAUUUGAAACUGUUGAUCUGGAGUACUGGAGAGGCAGAUGGAAUUCCUAGUGUAGCGGUGAAAUGCGUAGAUAUUACGAGGAACACCAGUGGCGAAGGCGGUCUGCUGGACAGCAACUGACGGUGAGGCGCGAAAGCGUGGGGAGCAAACAGGAUUAGAUACCCUUGUAGUC